RNAcentral lists this ribosomal RNA (742 nucleotides) under cyanobacterium enrichment culture clone 2_16_2.5.2_F08-T7. RNAcentral's name for it is "bacterial SSU rRNA". It matches the Rfam family "Bacterial small subunit ribosomal RNA", at positions 10 to 797 of the family's 1533-position model. Lineage: Bacteria; Bacillati; Cyanobacteriota. The record is from RNAcentral.
AGUUUGAUCCUGGCUCAGGAUGAACGCUGGCGGUCUGCUUAACACAUGCAAGUCGAACGGAGUACUUCGGUACUUAGUGGCGGACGGGUGAGUAACGCGUGAGGAUCUGCCCUCAGGAGGGGGACAACGACUGGAAACGGUCGCUAAUACCCAUAUGCCGAGAGGUGAAAUGUUUUUUCGCCUGAGGAUGAGCUCGCGUCAGAUUAGCUAGUUGGUGGGGUAACGGCCUACCAAGGCGACGAUCUGUAGCUGGUCUGAGAGGAUGAUCAGCCACACUGGGACUGAGACACGGCCCAGACUCCUACGGGAGGCAGCAGUGGGGAAUUUUCCGCAAUGGGCGAAAGCCUGACGGAGCAAGACCGCGUGAGGGAUGACGGCCUAAUGGUUGUAAACCUCUUUUCUCUGGGAAGAUAAUGACGGUACCAGAGGAAUAAGCCUCGGCUAACUCCGUGCCAGCAGCCGCGGUAAUACGGAGGAGGCAAGCGUUAUCCGGAAUUAUUGGGCGUAAAGCGUCCGUAGGUGGUUAAUCAAGUCAGCUGUUAAAGAGCGGAGCUUAACUCCGUUAGAGCGGUUGAAACUGAUUGACUAGAGUUUGGUAGGGGUCGAGGGAAUUCCCAGUGUAGCGGUGAAAUGCGUAGAUAUUGGGAAGAACACCGGUGGCGAAAGCGCUCGACUGGGCCUGGACUGACACUGAGGGACGAAAGCUAGGGGAGCGAAAGGGAUUAGAUACCCCUGUAGUCCU